UGGGAGGGUGAGCAGCAGCCUCCUCCCAGAGGGACUCUGGGCUGGGGAACAGGGUCCAAGGAGCUGUCCGGGGGCAGUGACCAGGGAGUCCAGGAGAUGCCGCUGAGCAGAGGAGGGGAAGCCCCCCGGGGGGAGGCCCUUUCUGCAGUGGCCUCUCCCAUCGCUGGAGAGCUGAGAGCCGCUAACCCCUCCCUGCCCCUGGCCAGCUCUCCACGAAGGUGGCAGCCCCCACGCUCAGCCUCUCACGGCCACAACACUCACGUCCGAGUUCCAGGCUCAGAGAGGAACACGCCUGCUACCUGGUGCCCGCCAGCUCACGGACUGCCGGGGGACAACAAGGGCCUGACCUGCUGAGCCUGGGCCACCGCCCGCAGAAAGGGGCUGACGACUAGGUUAUCAGAGAAGAGUCACUGGCGGAAACCACUGGCUUGCUUCUGCACCAGGGAUGGCCUCCAGAGAACCGGGCUCAAGAGGGUGCUCUCACUGAAAGGAGCUGCACGCGGGCCCCAGGUUGGGAGCAGCAGCCCCAGGACACUCACCCCAACAUCGGAGGCUGGGGCGACAGAGCGCCUGGCCGCCGCCAAAGCUGUGGGCUCCACGCUCUCCCUGUCCCUUCCUCCCCCUCUGUUCUCCUUCUCUGCUUCCUCCUGUCUCUGCCUCCCUCCCUUCCUCUAUAAAAACAAUGAAAGUUCUAUUCUGACCGUAUUAGUAUAAAAAAAGUAAAAGGGAACCC
Long non-coding RNA from Ovis aries (sheep), 733 nucleotides. Lineage: Eukaryota; Metazoa; Chordata; Mammalia; Artiodactyla; Bovidae. The record is from Ensembl.